RNAcentral lists this ribosomal RNA (279 nucleotides) under Triticum aestivum (bread wheat). RNAcentral's name for it is "partial small subunit ribosomal RNA". Lineage: Eukaryota; Viridiplantae; Streptophyta; Magnoliopsida; Poales; Poaceae. The record is from RNAcentral.
CUCAAGCAAUAAUCGAGAGAGCUCACAAUCUCCAUGGAAGAUGCCUAUGAAUUCACCAUGGAAGGUCCUCUCACUCCCCUGCUCUAUCUCCUCCCACUACCUGCACACGCACACAUGGAGCAGAGAAAUAGGAUGAGAGGGAGAUGACUGAGCCGGAUAUAGGACGGAGCACAGGGGUGGCCUGCACGCAGCUCUUCUUGUGCCCGGCUGUGGAGUGUGUUGUUGUACUGACAAGGCAAAGGUCCAAAUAUAUCACCAAAAUAAGCAAGCAGGCAACAA